RNAcentral lists this ribosomal RNA (164 nucleotides) under uncultured bacterium. RNAcentral's name for it is "partial 16S rRNA". It matches the Rfam family "Bacterial small subunit ribosomal RNA", at positions 355 to 511 of the family's 1533-position model. The record is from RNAcentral.
UAGGGAAUCUUCCACAAUGGACGCAAGUCUGAUGGAGCAACGCCGCGUGAGUGAAGAAGGUUUUAGGAUCGUAAAGCUCUGUUGUUGGUGAAGAAGGAUAGAGGCAGUAACUGGUCUUUAUUUGACGGUAAUCAACCAGAAAGUCACGGCUAACUACGUUCCAG